Long non-coding RNA from Phascolarctos cinereus (koala), 666 nucleotides. RefSeq lists it as uncharacterized. The record is from RefSeq and is a predicted model, not a curated record. Lineage: Eukaryota; Metazoa; Chordata; Mammalia; Diprotodontia; Phascolarctidae.
GCCUCCCUGGCGCAGGGGGCCGUUGCUAUGGAGACGCAAGAGGGCGGGGUCGUUGCCAUGGAGACGCCAGGAGGGCCGGCGCCAACUCUAUGGUCCCUCCUCCUGGGGAAUAAAAGGGACAUCCGGCCCCUGCAGCCCGCUCUGUGAUCUAUGGUUCUGCCCCUGGAGAAGAAGAGGAUGCGGACCUUCCAGGAAGCCCAUCGCUGGAAAGAAGACAGAAUAUCAUCUUAGGGUGCAGACCUAGACUCCAGAGCUUGAUUUGUGAAGAUUAAAAGAAGACACAUUGUGUUGUCAUGGAUACAGAGUCCAUCUCAGAGCCAGGAAGGCCUGGGUUCCAGUUCUGCUCGUGACAGACGGAAGGCCUGGGUUCCAGUUCUGCUCGUGACAGACGGACUGGCUUGAGUGACCUUGGAGAAGGCAAAGAAAGCCUACCUUCUGCCCAGUCGAUCCAGUAAUUCCAGUGGGACCCUGGAAGAAGGAUAAAAGGAGGAGAGAAGACCUGGUACCUCUGCCCAUGGACCCUGGAGCGUUUUUAGGAGACAAACUGGAUAAGACUUCAAAACGCAGCUAGUCCAACAUCUUCAUCUUACAAAUGAGGAGACUGAGGCCCACAGAGAGGAAGGGACUUGCUAAAAGUCAUAUGGCUAAUAAAUGGUAGUGUCAGGA